ACUUAGGAGUCUGGUGCAGCUGCUACAAUAAAUAAAAAGCUAAACAUGCUCUCUAAAAUAGCUAAGGAGCCAAAAUAGAGAGUUUGCUAAAAACGCUCUUAGCUCAUGUUUUGAUAUUAAAGAGUCAUCCUUUUAUGCUGGUUUUGUUUACUUAGGUUUAAAGCAGCUUUAGUUGUUUAGGCUGGUGUUCUUUUUGAUUUGAUAAGACCUUGAAUUUGGUGGUUUUGAUCUUCGGGGUUUUUGUCAUUUUGACUCUUUCAAAUGUAUAAAUAUAUUCUAUAUGUGAAACUCAUUUAGAUCACACCCUCCUCAAUAAGAGCUCUUGGGUUUUCUUUGUAUUUGGAUAUACUCUUUCAUCCAAGACAACUCUUCGUCCAUUCUUUUCCCUCUUUAUGGUGUGGAAUUGAAUUUUUUUGGGUUGAGAUCAUUCUGGACCAAGUUUUGGAAAAACCCAACAAAUUGGAAUAUCCAAUUCAAUGACGUUUAGGAGAAUCCUGUUUGUUUGUGAUAAAAAUACUAAUACUGAGCUUCAAGUAAAAAAAAAAUUGUAUCACAUGCUUGAUGUAAGGAAAAAGUUAAUAUAGCCUUUUCUUAACUCAUAUUUUCCAAGAUCGUAUCAGAGAUAGGUGAGAGUCAUCGUCCUAAGCUUUAAGGAAAGCUGAGGUCUUUACAGUAUGUGUCCAAUAGUUUCUCCAUCAAUCAUCAUAUUAUAUUUAAUGUGAAUGGCUUUUAAUGAUCGUGGUCCAUGUUUAAUUACAUUUGACAGUGAUGCAAAUCCAUGAGGCUCUUAAUUGAGAGCAUUCUGAUUUGCACCAUUAAGGAUCAUAUGAAAAUCCAGUUUCAGGCUAAUGGAUGGACCACAUUUGAAUGGUCUAGAAUUCUUCGAUGUGUUUCUUACUCUAUUACUAUUAGUGAUUAAGAGGAAGUUGGUACUCUAAUUUGUUGAAUUAGUGAACUAAUCAUUUUUUAUAAAGUGUUUAAAAACUAUGGCAAGCCAAAAAGGUGGCUUUUCCCAAGAUUGUCCAUUAUUGACAAACGAUUUUGGCCCUAUGUUUGUCUUCCUUACUCCCUAGCUUGCAAGUGACACAAUGACAUCACGUUACUUUUGUUGAAUAUAAUUGUAUGUUGUUGAUAAAAUUCAUGCACUUGGCAUGGUACAACUAAUUGUUGUCGUUCCAACCUGGCUUAUUGUCUCUAGCUAUUUGCUAGUGUUUGUAAGAUAGGUGUUUUCAUAAGCAAGCAUUUUAGGGUUUUGUUAGAUUUGUGCUAUGCUUUUAUGUUAUUUCUGAGACCUAUGUUACUUUUGACUGUUUAAUGUAUAAAGUUAAUAACUCCAACUAUUUAUUGGCAGGUAGUGAAGAGGAGGCCUUCUUUAAUUUCAGGUAUUGGUUGGACUCAGAUUAUGAAGAUGACUUCCACAGUAAGGAAUCAGUCAUGAAGUUUAUGAAACUUGGAUCUUGGCCAGAUACCUUUUACACUUAUGAGGCUAUAAGUCAGUUUCCUUUGAAGUUUCAAAGUGAUCUAAUUCAAGUGAAGGGAAGAAGAUAUUUGCUUCACAAGUUUCCACUUCUGUCAAAGUGUUUGAGGCCGCGAAGGCUUUGCUUUGAAUAUGUAUAAACCUAUAAUCCAACUGCGUGAUUUUCCGAGUGGAGUUAAGGCAUUUGAGCACGGCACAAAAUUCUGCUAUGAAAUCACAAUUACUCUUAGUGCCCACAAUAUUGUAGCUGUUAGCAGCGGUGCAAAGUUCUUGAACGACUAAGGAAGUUGAGAAGGGAAACUUGAUAUAUAAGCUUGAGGUGUUCUUCAACUCUUGCAUACUCCAUGGCAGGAGCGACGCAAUUGCCCACUCUACUAAUAAGCACGAAGGUGAUCAACUGCUUAAUUUUCAGUUCAAUACACAAAUGAGCUUCGGGGUUGUUGUAUGAAAUGUUUACUGAACAUGUGAAAGAUCUAUUUGAAGCUGAGAACUUCAUUUGAUUACUAUUAGUUGUUAGUUCACUUAAAAAGAAAGCA
Molecule: long non-coding RNA, 2013 nt
Organism: Rosa chinensis
Lineage: Eukaryota; Viridiplantae; Streptophyta; Magnoliopsida; Rosales; Rosaceae
Exons: 3
Source: RefSeq, a predicted model, not a curated record